UCACGUUUUUCAGAUCCCUCUCUCUCUCUAAACCUAUACACCAUCGACGUCACCAACAGUGCGAGUCACCGUCAUCGUCGUCCACUCCCAGAACCGCCGCUGCCGUUGCCAGUUAUCAUCAAAUGAUGGUUGUUCCUUGGUCAUGUUCGUGGGAUCUCACCAUGUCGCAUAGCAUAUAUGCUGGAUUACAGUGGAAUCUUUGACUAGGUUAACAGGAAAUCAUGUUCAUACUGUGUGUUCCCUUUUUGCUGAUCCUACACUUGGUGUCGUUGUUAGAAGUGUUCUUUCUGCAUCUUCAGUAGGCUUGUGCCACUGGAACUUUGGUAGCGGUAACGAAAGAUGGCAGGUGAAAAGAGGGGUAAGAAAACAAAGAAGGCUAACGAGACAACGGUUCCCCGAAGACCACCAGAAAACCUUGCGAUUAUAAAUAGAAGCCCGUCGCCAUGUCUUCCACCACGCGGCACUCCAUUGCCUCAUGAUCCCCUUAGUGUAGACUAGUUUAAUGUUUUGUGCAUGUUUACAAAUGUUGAAGUAGUUUAAUGUUGUUUUGAUGUUUGCGAAGGUUGAAGUAGCUUAAUUAAUGUCUCUUGUGAAUGUUUGAUUGACGUUUUUAUUCAACUUUGAAGUAAUUUCGAAUUGAAUUUGAUGUUUUGGUGGUUGUAAUAUAUGUGUUGUAAUAGUAGCUUAUUGUUUUAUGUAUUUA
Long non-coding RNA from Lycium barbarum (goji berry), 703 nucleotides. RefSeq lists it as uncharacterized. The transcript has 4 exons. NCBI's taxonomy places the organism in Eukaryota, Viridiplantae, Streptophyta, Magnoliopsida, Solanales, Solanaceae. The record is from RefSeq and is a predicted model, not a curated record.